This 499-nucleotide ribosomal RNA is filed under the name Lasius lasioides. RNAcentral describes it as "partial 16S ribosomal RNA". The record is from RNAcentral. Lineage: Eukaryota; Metazoa; Arthropoda; Insecta; Hymenoptera; Formicidae.
GGUUUUUUGAAUACAUAUAAUUUAAGAUUAGUUCUGCUCAAUGAUUAAAAUUAUUAAAUAGCCGCAGUAUUUUGACUGUGCUAAGGUAGCAUAAUCAAUUGUUUUUUAAUUGAAAACUGGAAUGAAGGAAUUGAUGAGAUUAAAGCUGUCUGUUAUUAAAAUGUUAAAAUUUAAAUUUUAAGUAAAAAUUCUUAAAUAAAAUUAUGGGACGAGAAGACCCUAUAGAAUUUGAUAUAAUUUUUUAAAAUAUAAAUAAAAAUUUAAUAAAAUUAAUAUUUUAUUGGGAGGAUAAUUAAAUUAAAUUAACUUUAAAAUUAAUAUUAAACAUUAAUUUAUGGAAAUUUGAAUAAUUUUUUUAUUAUAAUAGGAAAAAUUAAUAGAAAAUUAAUUACCUUAGGGAUAACAGCGUAAUAUUUUUAAAAAGAUCAUAUUGAUAAAAAUGUUUGCGACCUCGAUGUUGAAUUAAAAUAAAAAUUAAAUGAAGAAGUUUAAUAUUUUA